GGUGUAUUAGUGUAGCGGUUAACACGCUAGCCUGUCACGCUAGUAGCACGGGUUCGAUUCCCGUAUACACCGCCA
RNAcentral lists this transfer RNA (75 nucleotides) under Bacillus cereus. RNAcentral describes it as "tRNA-Asp". It matches the Rfam family "tRNA". Rfam says of the family: Transfer RNA (tRNA) molecules are approximately 80 nucleotides in length. Their secondary structure includes four short double-helical elements and three loops (D, anti-codon, and T loops). RNAcentral also lists the same sequence under 2 other names. Lineage: Bacteria; Bacillati; Bacillota; Bacilli; Caryophanales; Bacillaceae. The record is from RNAcentral.